GUCCUGGGGUACCUCGGCUUUUGGUGAAGAUCCAGGAAGUGGGACUGGGGGGAAGGAGGGACCAGGAGGAGGGGCGUGCAGCUCAGCAGUGCCUUGUUCCCCUGCAGUAACCGGGCCGCCCUGCACCUCUAUUCCAACACCCUCAACUUUCAGAUCAGUGAAGUGGAGCCCAAAUACUAUGCAGAUGGGGAGGACGCCUAUGCCAUGAAGCGGGACCUCACUCAGAUGGCCGAUGAGGUAAGCGCCUGCAUGAAGCCAAGCAAGGCAAGCGGGGGCGGCACUCGGGAGCCCCGAGACGGUGGCUGGAGGCGAGACCGACUUUGGAUGCCAGCUCUUGUGGCUACGUUGCCAGGAGUCACGACCUCAGUUUCCUAGGCUGGGCUUUAGAGGAGGCCGUCUGCCUAGCAGCCUGGAGGGUGAUGGGAGAGGCAGAGGGAGGAGGCUUUUAGAAGGGAAGUGGGGAGGCCUGGGGACCAGUGGGUGGCCUGCCUGCUCAGAGGUAGUUCUGAGUCAGGGUUCUGCCCAAGGCUCCUCGGGUGGCAGGGCUGGUCAAGGGGCAGCGCUCUGUCAUGGGGGUCUCCAUGGUAGUCAGUGAGCCCAGGUAGUGGUGGACUGGGGCUCCAGCCAGGUGUCCCCACUCAGUCCCGCGUGUCCUGCCUAGCCCUGCUGCCUCACUAUGCCCCUCUCCUCAGCCAGCGACAGGGCCA
Molecule: small RNA, 707 nt
Filed under: Pongo abelii (Sumatran orangutan)
Lineage: Eukaryota; Metazoa; Chordata; Mammalia; Primates; Hominidae
Description: retained intron
Source: RNAcentral